CCCUUCACCGCUUUGGUUUCCUCACAUCCCUGCUUGCUGUAGUAAACCUGUCUCCUGCUCUCACGUCUCUUGUUGCUGCCUCACCUGCUGUUCUUCUCCCGUCGUCGUCAUCGCGUUUUUUUUUUGCGUUUGUGCUUCUUAAAGGAGCUCGCGUGUACCCGCUGUCGGCGCGUGUCUGUGCGUGUGCCUUGUGUCCCCUCCCCUCCCUUCCGCGCUUCCGCCCUCUCUCCUUUACAACGUCCCCCAGUAGUCUUUGACAGGGCCACAAAGUCCGGGACGACCCGACCCAUAACACGAAAAGAAGGGGGAGGCGCAUCCUUGACAGCGCCGCCGCCACGUGAGUUGCCAUCGAUCUUCUUCUGCCUUUGUCUUCUUUGCUGCUUUUCUCUUGCUGCUUGCUUGCUUGAGACGCUGCACACGUAAACACGCCUGUAUUCGUGUGUGCACCCCCUCCCGCAUAUCUUUGGCUCGUUAUCGAUUGUUACAUUUUUCCUUUCCGUAUUAUUUAUAUUUGCCAUCGUUGCCAGCGCCUAUCUUCUCUUCAACUGUGUUCCUCGAUCCCUUCCUUUCCUCGAUCCUUUUCCGUGCACGCUGGCCUGGCCGCUUCUCUGCCGACCCGUUUCUUCUUUUCCUUCUUUUUGUGCACCUGCGUCGUCUUUUAUCUCCUUCGUUUCUCCUUCUCUCUGCCUUUCCCGAUUCACCGUGUGGUUGCGUGUGUGUGCCGUCUAGCCCAGUCAGAGGUUUCUCCACAACACCGACGCACUCCCGUCCAGCAAAGAGGGCCUGCACACACACACAUAUCUGUAUCUAUCUAUAUAUAGAUACACAGCCAUUGCUGCUGCAAGAGCGUCUUUUAGUUUUUUUUUGCUUGUUGUCCUUUGUGACUGCGCCAUCGUUCUUGACUUUGUCUUGUGCUUCCUUUCCUCUCCUCCCACUCCCCCUCCAUCUCUUCGGUGCCUCCGCAGCAGUCUGCUGACGUGUGUUUGUUCUCUUCUUUUCUGUCGUCUCCGCCUCGGUUCGCCCUUGGCGCUUCUCGCGCGUGGGUUUGUCUUUGGACUCCUUGCGUACGCCUAUCCAGCUUCCACAAUGAAGAAACUGUUCGCGAGUCGUGGCAACACCUCGCCGACGUCAGCGGGUCCUGCCGGUAAGGCGCCACUCUCGACAUCGAGGACGUCGGGUGGUCCGACGGCGUACUCCGGCAACCGCUUCGACAUGCGUGAUCCGGACGGGGGUCCCGUGGACCGCUUGAACAGCAGCGGCUCCAGCCAAGGAAUGGGAGAUGGCAUGGGACCGUACGAUAGGGUCGGCUUGAUGUCGGAGGCGGCCGAGACCACCUCCGGCGCCCGAAGCAACGACCCCGCCAAGCGAUACGGCUCCUGCUACGAGGGCGGGGCAAAUGCCCGCUGCGACACGUGCAAGAUGGUGAAGAUCGCGUGCAACUGCCAGAGUUGUCACUGUUGCCACCGCUUCCUCAUGUCGCCGUCGAGCAUCCAUCACUGCCGGCUAUGCUGGCGUGCCACGUGUGCCGAGUGCAGUAACUACAUGCGUACUAACGACUUCAUGGGCGGCCGGAUAACCCGUACUUGCCUCACGUGUGCCGUGCCCAAGGCACUGAUCUUCAUAACGCAGAUGCGGUACAGCGUGUACGACUCGGCAGGCGUCUCUAGCAGGACGGCGAGGGGCGGGUCUGACAGGACAGCGAGGGGCAUGUCUGACAGAACAGCGAGGGGCUGGUAUGACAGGAACGGCGAUGCAGACGGAAGAAAAUGGGGGGGAGUCUUGCCACCUGCGAUGGAGCCGAACUCUUUUCGCUGGGGCCUGUACGUGCUCGGGUGCGAGAUCGAGGCCCCGCGGCGCUGCAUCAACCCACUCUGCUCCAGCCCAUUCGCCUACGUCGAUACGUGCGCCAAGUGCAAAUCCCCGACCGUCACCAUAUUGUUUCACGAGCAGCGCCACAUCGCGACAAUGAACACGUCGAAAAAGGUCGCAAAACUCAUCGACAGCGGCGGCCUGCCAUCCGGUUCGACGGAGGCGUUGGAGGAUGUGGUGCGCGACAAGUACGAGACCCUCGUGGAGAGUCGCUCUGCUGACGAGGUGGAUGAGAUCUUUGCUUGUGCGAUGCCGUUACAGUUGGAGAAGCGUCUGUUUUCGAGCCUGGCGGGCAACAUCUGGGCCACGCGAAAGGUGCUACUCGCCCUGGUGGCGUGCGGCAUCGCCGGGGAGGCGCCGGCGGCGCCGGUCAUCUCGCUGGCCAUGACAGACUUCCCCGUGUACGCGAGAGUGAUGCGACCGCUUCAAAUAACGGAGCUUUUCACUGUGUUUAGCGGACCAGGAAAUAUUCGCCUCGUCGCCUUCAGCUCCGGCGCGAGCCGACGCCCUGGCGUGCAUCAGGUGCUAAGCACGCGCAUGGUGUCUCGGGAGCUGUGGACCAGUCAGGCGAUGAAAAGCAGCGAGGUGCUUGGCAAGAUUGUGUCGAACAAGGAUGAGGCGCAGCAGGCAGGGCUGAACACGAAUGUGGCGACGUGGAACGUACGGGAGGGCCUCCUCGGCUACAUAAGCGAUGAUAACAUAAUGCUCCGUGUGCAGAGCCUCGUGCUGCGGAUGGUGAAAAACGGUGAGGAAGUGGUACUUUGCGGCCACGGUAUCGGGGGCGCCGUCGCCUCCUGGCUGACGACGUGCAUGCUGCUGGAGAACACGCCACAGACGCGGGAUCGGCUGUUGUGCGUGACGUUCGGCGCGCCGCUCAUUGCCAGUCGAUCCCUGUCGAAUUUGCUCAUGAAGAACGAGCUCGCCAAGAAUUACCAGAACUUUGUGAACGGCAGCGACAUGGUGCCGCGGCUGGGCUACGUGGACUCAUUGCUGUACUCUGGCAACGCGGCCAGCUGUGCCUCGAUUUUGGGGCAGGACGGCCCGCUAAACUCCGUGCGGAAGGUGCGGGAUUGCGUCGUUCUCUGGACCGCUUCGCAUGAGGAGCCUCGUGGCGCCGCGCCCACGAGGAAUGCGGAUGAUUCCGGCGAUGGCAACCCAUCUGCCUCCAAUAUUGGGCGCAACGCACGCUAUCACUCUGUGGACAUGGCGAAUGGGUCUCAGGCCACGCGCAAGAAAGACUCGAAGCGCCCGCUGUCGCCAGUCGACCCGGUCAUCUGCGUCAACGAGACCGAACAUGGCGAUCUCUUCCUGCCAAGCCGCGAGCCUUUCGACAACAACGCCGUCCGCACCACAUACGACGGAGAACUGAGAGAAAAAGGCAUUUGUGUGGAAGGUGAACUCACCAUUUGCGACACCGACUUGAAGCGCUACUCGACAACCCAACACCGUGACAAACAAGCGAUGGACCCGCUUGGCUGCUACCACUUUCUAUGGCAACCACGCGGCAAGUACAUAUGCACGGAGGAUCCGACGAUGGCCAUCGGCUUGUUGUCGGACCGGACGAACAUGCGCCUUGUGCUGCGCGAUCACUUGCUAAGUGCGUAUAACAAGGGCAUGAUGGAGUACGUCUACUCUGCGCCCCCGUAGUAGAGGGCCCCCACCCGCGUGUGCCGGGCGCUCGUGACCGCCGCUGCUCUCUUCGCUGUGCCGUUGCUGUCUCCGGGGCUGUUGGUGCCGAGUCUCGCCUAAAUUUUGUUUUUUUUCUUUUUUCUUUCCCGCCCACGGUGCGUCUUCCGCAAUCUCUGUCGACCCUCCGCCGCCCCGCCGCUUCCUUUGUGUUUUUGCCUUGUCUCUCCCGUUUUCCUUUUUCGUCCUCUUCCUGUUUUUGCUUCGACGUGCACACCGCACACAUACACGCGCACAGGUGCUCGAACGCACGCGCGUGGGCACACGCGGGUGCGGCACCCUUUGUUCGCCCAUUCUAUUUUUUUCCUUUUCGUUUUGUUCCUGUUCUCCGUUCACCCGAUGAUGCUGUGGGGUGGGGGGAGGGAAUCACCUCUCCGUGCGUGGUAUCAACAAGGGUCCAGUGCACCCCCCCCUCCCCACACACACACUCUCUCUCUCUCGGGGAGGAAGCCACGCAGCCCCUGGUCCUUGCCAAUGCCAAAGGACUUCCUGGCGGUGACGGCGCCAAGUGCCUAGGACGUGGGGAAGUCAGAGGGAUUCAUUGCGACUCAUGGCGGCGGCGAGGUCGUGGAUGGUGAUGCGUCGGAGCGACCUGCGACCGUGAACACGCUUGUGCCAUCCAUAUGAUGGGCAAAGUGUCCGCGUAACUCGAACGAAUCCCACCCACCCCCGAUUUUCACUGCCCACUGGUAGAGGAGCCUGCGCCACCCCGAAGGGGAUGCACCGGGUGGCGGCGUGGGAAGUGGGUGGGCGGAGCUCGAGUCAGAGGCCGUGCUCAGAUGACUGGGUCGGCGCAUUGCUGCAACGCGUGUGUACGGCUGCUUCGCACCACGCGAUGUGGGGCCUGUGGCAGGCCUGGGCUUGAGUGGAGUUCAACUUACGUUGAAUGGAAGAUAAAAACGGACAUGUUGAAGCGUGAAGUCCUCUUCUGCCUUUUGCGUACUUCUCUCGCUUUUUUCUAUUUUUGUUCUUGGUGCUUGCUCGUUUUCCGUCCGCAUUUUCUGUGUUUUUGUUGUGCGUUUUUCUCCCCACCCCCACCCCCUCCCCUCUCUCCUUGCUGCAUUUUGGUUUGCCUUCCUGUACGUGUACACGUGUGCUUUAUAUGUGUUGUGUAUGUGUGCGCCCCCUCUUCCCUCUUCCAUGCAUCACUUUCCGACCCUUUCUCCGGUGUCGGCCAUUAUUCCUCCUCAUGAGCGUCAUCGCCAUUGUCGGCUUGCGUGCAUGUCGGUGCAUGUGUCUCUGCGUGGCUCCGUCCCUCUUGAUUCCAUACCUGCAUCAGCCAUUUCCGCUCUCCUACAUACGCACGCACACAUACAUACAUACACAUGCACGUGUGUGUGCCCUUUUCUCCGAUUUCCCCUCCCCCUACUAUUUCCCCUUCCUCGUUUUCUCGCCGCAUCCUUCCCCAAAAUUUACGCGCGUGUGUGUGUGCUGGCUGUGCGCUUUCCGUGUUGCGGACGGGAACAUGGGGCGGGAGAGGGGGAUGGGUGAGAGCAUCGUAGAGGAGGGGGCGAGGAGACCAUGGCAGAAGGGCGUCAAAACGGGGAAAAGAGAAGAACGAUCAGGAGGGAGGGAGGGGGAGUAGAGGCUGUACGUGAGGUGAAUGCUGCACUGACCAUGCGCAUGCGUGCGUGCGUGUGUGUACGCUUUAUUGGAUUUCGACGAGUGAUUUCUGUCUUUUUUUGCCUUUCUUCUUCGUCUUUCGGCGCGCCUGACACACCGUCCUCGCCCUUCCGCGGUUCGCCGACCUCUGUGCCAAGCGUACGCGAGUACGUCUUCGUUCCUUUUAUAUUUCGGUGUUUUUACCUCUGCCCAUGCCUUCGAUCUCCCCCUUCUCCCCCCUUUUCUCUCUCCCAAGUGCUUUUUGCUGACGUUAGUACCCACGGAGGGACCGUUUUAUGUGUGCGCCUGAGCGUGUGCGCGUGUGGGCGUGUGCGUGCGUGCGCCGCCUGCGCUUUGGCAGCGGCGAGGGAGGGCUCCGAAACCCCAUCCUCCUCCUCGCGCCCUCUUCUACCCCCUUCGUCUCCUCUCACGGCCACGAAAGGUACGCUUUUUUUUUUCGUUUGUUUUCUGUUUUAUCAGCGUGUCCGUUUCACCCACGAACAAGUCAACCCACAGGCGCAUACACAACAACCACAGCUCAUCUACCUCCUGUUGCACUACGGCUGAACCCUGGUCUUCUACAACGAAGCGUCGUGCCGCCGAAUCAGGUCAUGCGUCUAGCGAGGAUCUACUUGCCCUUCCUCGGAUACGUGCUGCGCGCUCGGUGAGACAGGGACCUAGCUGCACUGCCAUGCCUUGAUCCGCGCGGGCCGCGUCCAGGGUCCUGCGUUCGAGGGCGGAAGCGGUGACGCCUGUCGUGCGGGUCGUCGGGGGUGGUCUUUAAGUGCAUGCAGGGUGCACGAGUGCAUGCAAAACAACAAAAUGGUAUUCGUGCUGGCACUCACACGCAUCUUCUGCGACUUCUGCCCUCCCUCCACGCAUUCGGUGUGUGUGUGUGUGUUUGGUGUGCGGAGCUGCUCUUUUUCCUUCACAUCUGUUCCCCUGCCCCCUUCCUCCGAUUCUUGUCUUGAAGGCGUCUUUUCUCGCCUCGUGGGGAACUGCAACAUGCUUGUGAGGGGCGUCGCGCGUGUGUGCCUGCGUGUGUGCAUGAGCGUGUGUCUGUGGGUGGUUUUGUUGUUGUGCUCUGUGGGCGUGCGUGUGCGCGAGGAUAAUUUGUGAAUGCUGCCGAUGAGCGCAACUAGCGGCGCACUGAGCACAACACGCACACACACAAGACACACAACGAAAGGAGCGCGCCUAUGCCCCGGUUCCUUUUCUUCCCUUUCUGCGUGUGCGUAGGUACUUAUGCGUGCAUGUGCCUGUGUCUGCCCCGCACCCAUGCUAACAUCGAUUGUUGCUGUCGUUGUGCUUCACUUUUCGUUUCCUCUCUAUC
Molecule: unclassified non-coding RNA, 6490 nt
Filed under: Leishmania donovani
Lineage: Eukaryota; Euglenozoa; Kinetoplastea; Trypanosomatida; Trypanosomatidae
Description: gene:LdHU3.13.0250(CDS-product:Lipase_(class_3)_p utative)
Source: RNAcentral